AGGCCACUACGGGCUCUCCAUAGCCCGUGCUACAUGUAACUUUUUGUUCCCAGUAGCUGAAUCUAAAACAACAGCCAGAGGGAGGUGGGGGUUGAGAGCAGUUACCAAGCAACGCACCACCAAUAUCUCGCAUAAGAGCAAACAUUAAUAUCCUCUUAAAUAAUUGUGCGAGAAAAUUGGGUUAAAUAAAGCAAGAACUUAAAUGCAAUCUAAUAGUAACUUUGUCGGCAGGUGGACAUGGAUCCCCCGAGUCUACCAGAUGGUCGAGGAGCAGCCAUAUUGUCGACCACAUGUUGAGGCCUGUCCACUCACUCUACCACCUAGACUGGUGGUUCAAGAAGCGGCCCACAGCAAUAUACAGUUGACAUUUACGAAGAAUUCGAGAAAUCAAACUACUUAAGGACCAAGAGCCAGACGUUGUGAUCAGGAGGUCAAGACGCCAGUGGCCUGAGGCUUCAAGGUAGGUCGGUGGAGAGAGUUGAACCUUUUAAGUUUAUAU
Non-coding RNA from Procambarus clarkii (red swamp crayfish), 499 nucleotides. Lineage: Eukaryota; Metazoa; Arthropoda; Malacostraca; Decapoda; Cambaridae. The record is from RefSeq and is a predicted model, not a curated record.